AACGAACGCUGGCGGCAUGCCUAACACAUGCAAGUCGAACGAGACCUUCGGGUCUAGUUGCGCACGGGUGCGUAACGCGUGGGAACCUGCCCUUAGGUUCGGAAUAACUCCCCGAAAGGGGUGCUAAUACCGGAUAAUGUCUUCGGACCAAAGAUUUAUCGCCUUUGGAUGGGCCCGCGUUGUAUUAGCUAGUUGGUAGGGUAAAAGCCUACCAAGGCGACGAUCCAUAGCUGGUCUGAGAGGAUGAUCAGCCACACUGGGACUGAGACACGGCCCAGACUACUACGGGAGGCAGCAGUGGGGAAUAUUGGACAAUGGGCGAAAGCCUGAUCCAGCAAUGCCGCGUGAGUGAUGAAGGCCUUAGGGUUGUAAAGCUCUUUUACCCGGGAUGAUAAUGACAGUACCGGGAGAAUAAGCUCCGGCUAACUCCGUG
RNAcentral lists this ribosomal RNA (433 nucleotides) under uncultured bacterium. RNAcentral's name for it is "partial 16S ribosomal RNA". It matches the Rfam family "Bacterial small subunit ribosomal RNA", at positions 29 to 507 of the family's 1533-position model. The record is from RNAcentral.